UACGGGGGGGGUAAGCGUUGUUCGGAAUUACUGGGCGUAAAGGGCUCGUAGGCGGCCAACUAAGUCAGACGUGAAAUCCCUCAGCUUAACUGGGGAACUGCGUCUGAUACUGGAUGACUUGGAUUCGGGAGAGGAAUGCGGAAUUCCAGGUGUAGCGGUGAAAUGCGUAGAUAUCUGGAGGAACACCGGUGGCGAAGGCGGCAUUCUGGACCGAUAUUGACGCUGAGGAGCGAAAGCCAGGGGAGCAAACGGG
This 253-nucleotide ribosomal RNA is filed under the name uncultured bacterium. RNAcentral's name for it is "partial 16S ribosomal RNA". It matches the Rfam family "Bacterial small subunit ribosomal RNA", at positions 524 to 776 of the family's 1533-position model. The record is from RNAcentral.